CACUCUUGGGGUGGAUGACUUGGUUCAUGCCUUGAUGAAGAACACAGCUAGUUGCGAGAAUUAAUGUGAAUUCCAGGACACCUUGAUCAUUGACACUUCGAAUACACUUGCAGCUGAGACU
Molecule: ribosomal RNA, 121 nt
Filed under: Chlorocebus sabaeus (green monkey)
Lineage: Eukaryota; Metazoa; Chordata; Mammalia; Primates; Cercopithecidae
Description: 5.8S ribosomal RNA
Rfam family: 5.8S ribosomal RNA
About the family: 5.8S ribosomal RNA (5.8S rRNA) is a component of the large subunit of the eukaryotic ribosome. It is transcribed by RNA polymerase I as part of the 45S precursor that also contains 18S and 28S rRNA.
Source: Rfam by way of RNAcentral